This 509-nucleotide long non-coding RNA is filed under the name Gossypium barbadense (sea-island cotton). RNAcentral's name for it is "long non-coding RNA (GBAR_LNC003514)". The record is from RNAcentral. Lineage: Eukaryota; Viridiplantae; Streptophyta; Magnoliopsida; Malvales; Malvaceae.
UUAAUUUGAGAAGUGCAAUCAUAGACAUAUCCUAUUUGGGGAGCUGAAGAAAUGGCAGAGAUAGGAAACGAUAUUCUUGCAGCACAGCAUGCAGCAGGGUGGGAUGUUGACAUUCCACUUCCAAAUGUUUUCACGGUUGCAGUCGGGGCUCGACGGUUCAGAGUUCGUUGCAGACCUCACGGAGGCAGGUAUCGCAUCUAUGGCGAUGAGUGGCGCAGUUUUGUUAACUCAAAUGUGGGAGCAGUGGUUACUCUUCACGCCAGAGAAGAGGGUGAGGACUUCCACAACCUAGAAGUGAGGCGGUGAGCUUCAUAAGCGUCUACAAAUUAAAGAAAUGCUACCCGUGGAGCUUCAUAUAUAUAUUUGUUUUGUGCGUUGUUUGUCUGUUUAUAAUUUCUGAGAAAAUGCAAAAUGCUUUUGUUUUUCAUUUUCUCAGUAUUAGUAAUGUUUAAUGAUUGUGUUGUAUUUCUAUUUUAAAUGCGAUUUUCUUUUUUCUCUUACCUUGCCAC